CAAUUUUCGUGUCCCCUUCGUCUAGAGGCCCAGGACACCCCCCUUUCACGGCGGUAACAGGGGUUCGAAUCCCCUAGGGGACGCCACUUGCUGGUUUGUGAGUGAAAGUCACCUGCCUUAAUAUCUCAAAACUCAUCUUCGGGUGAUGUUUGAGAUAUUUGCUCUUUAAAAUCUGGAUCAAGCUGAAAAUUGAAACACUGAACAACGAAAGUUGUUCGUGAGUCUCUCAAAUUUUCGCAACACGAUGAUGAAUCGAAAGAAGCAUCUUCGGGUUGUGAGGUUAAGCGACUAAGCGUACACGGUGGAUGCCCUGGCAGUCAGAGGCGAUGAAGGACGUGCUAAUCUGCGAUAAGCGUCGGUGAGGUGAUAUGAACCGUUAUAACCGGCGAUUUCCGAAUGGGGAAACACAGUGUGUUUCGACACACUAUCAUUAAC
This 435-nucleotide unclassified non-coding RNA is filed under the name Escherichia coli. Its description in RNAcentral is "partial 16S-23S ribosomal RNA intergenic spacer". The stretch from base 164 to 271 matches the Rfam family "Salmonella enterica Typhi npcRNA 44". Lineage: Bacteria; Pseudomonadati; Pseudomonadota; Gammaproteobacteria; Enterobacterales; Enterobacteriaceae. The record is from RNAcentral.